CUUUCCUACAUGCUCCCACUCAUCA
This 25-nucleotide non-coding RNA is filed under the name Rattus norvegicus (Norway rat). Lineage: Eukaryota; Metazoa; Chordata; Mammalia; Rodentia; Muridae. The record is from RNAcentral.